RNAcentral lists this ribosomal RNA (238 nucleotides) under uncultured bacterium. RNAcentral describes it as "partial 16S ribosomal RNA". It matches the Rfam family "Bacterial small subunit ribosomal RNA", at positions 1253 to 1500 of the family's 1533-position model. The record is from RNAcentral.
CCGAGCGAUCGGCAGCGGAACCCGAAAACCUGUCUCAGUUCGGAUCGGAGUCUGCAACCCGACUCCGUGAAGCUGGAUUCGCUAGUAAUCGCGCAUCAGCCAUGGCGCGGUGAAUACGUUCCCGGGCCUUGUACACACCGCCCGUCAAGCCAUGAAAGCCGGGGCGCCUGAAGUCCGUGACCGCGAGGGUCGGCCUAGGGUGAAACCGGUGAUUGGGGCUAAGUCGUAACAAGGUAAC